GCCCCUGCCGAUACCUGCCCGCCCCCGCCUCCCCGGAGUCACACAGUGACGGAGACGGACGCUGCCGCGAGUGGUGCCACCACGUCUGUGACCUUUAUAAAACUCUCAUCGCGACAGCAGUACAAGCGAUAGAAAGGACAUCUCUUAUACACAUCUGAAUAAAUACAGCCUGGGCCCUGCGGGCACAGCCGGGCGUGGGGGGGGCGGCGUGAGCUACACAUGCGGCGACGGGACAAUCACAAGCGGCCGACUGGGCGUGUGACAACACAGAGACGUGUGUAGAGAUUUGCUCGGACCAGGCUCCGGCGCUCAGAGAGCCGAGUGAGGCGCCGACAGGAGGUGAAAUGCGUGAGAAGUGGGCUGGGGAGCCCAGCGGAGGCGGGGGUCCGGCAGGCACACGCUGCCCCCGCGGGCACGGUGCUCUUCUCGGCAGAAGCAGGCAGGGUAGCCCAGCUACAUCUCUGUUUCUGCUAAGAGGCUGUCACCGAGACCUGACGUCAUCAGCACCAUCUGGGAGCUGGAAUCUGUGUCGAGAGAGGGAGAAAACGAUGAGCCGUUUGGGCUGCCAGAGAGUACAGGGCUGUACUCCAGAUGCAGAGCAGCCGCAUUGUCCUUGGAGGCUGCCUUUCCACAAGAGGCUCAGCCCAACGCCGUUUAACAUGAAGGUCACGCCUGGAGGUUGUAUGUAUUCCAGUUCAUGGGGGGAAAGGACAGAUCCCAUUCACCAACCUCACCACAAGAAACCAGUGGCACUGGAAACACCCCAGACACUCCAACUCCUGCCUGUCAGCUCCUGCCCACAGCCCAGCUCCCAGAGCUCUUACUGUUUUGGCAGAUCCAGGGGUUCUUCUCCCUGGCUGUGACUUCGUGAGCCUCUGUCUCCUCCUCUUCCUCACCCUCUGAGAGAAGGUCAGAGAUCUGCUGCUGCAGCUCAGGACUAAUGUUGUUCUCCGCCAGGAUGAGUGUCCGUAGGGCUGUGGGGUAGUUCUCUACCAUGUCCAGCAAGGUCUGGGCGGAGAGUGAAAUAAACAGGCUGAAGCAGCACAAACAGCA
Pipra filicauda (Wire-tailed manakin) is the source of this 1053-nucleotide long non-coding RNA. RefSeq lists it as uncharacterized. The record is from RefSeq and is a predicted model, not a curated record. Lineage: Eukaryota; Metazoa; Chordata; Aves; Passeriformes; Pipridae. The transcript is spliced from 2 exons.